This is a long non-coding RNA of Seriola dumerili (greater amberjack), 419 nucleotides long. RefSeq lists it as uncharacterized. NCBI's taxonomy places the organism in Eukaryota, Metazoa, Chordata, Actinopteri, Carangiformes, Carangidae. The record is from RefSeq and is a predicted model, not a curated record. The transcript is spliced from 3 exons.
GAAACUGAUGCCUUAGGCGAGUGAGUGUAAAUACAACAUUAUUAUUAUUUUACUGUGAAAGUCUCAGAGUCAGUUUCUCCCUGUGGACUGUGGAGGGAAGAAGAGUCAGAGUGAACUUGUGUCCACACAAAGACACUGAGAGAAAAGGAGGGAACAACAUGCGCUGUGGUACUUCCUGUUCUCUGCGUCAGAAUCAACAGUCUGACUCAACGUUGUGAUGAGCUGAAUAAUACACAUGAAGACUGAGCAGACUGACUGAAGUCCUGAAGAUGAGUGAUGGUGUGGAGGAAGAGGAGGACGGAGCAAAGUCUCCAGGAUCCAUCUGUCUGUCUAUGAAGAGUGACUGGUCCAAAGGACAUCUUCCAGACUUCAGUGAUGAACCUGGACCCUCAGACUCACACUGAUGAACAUGACAGAGA